GGAUUCCAAAUGUCUAUAUCUUCUCCUUUUUUAUUUUGUUUUGCUGUUGUUGUUGUUUCAAAGUAAAGCCAAAUAGACAUAUUUCAUUUCCUGCUUGCUCUUCUCUAGAGCAUUAUACAGUAAAUUUGCAGUGAGGACAUUAAUUGUAAUUUUUAAUUUCUACAUUAAAUGACCUUAUCAGAAAGACAGCGUAGCUUUGAGAAUACCCCAGAGAAAAAACAGCCCUUCACACUGACAGUGUUUCAGCAGUUGUUUGACUCAUUAGGAAUCCAGCAAUGUCACCCACUGAUACCAUCAGUGCUAUCUCUUUCUUCCCUGCAUUCCCAAUCUGGCUUCGCCAUGAGUGGACUGAGAGGCUGGAAGGCCGAGCAAAGCAGGUCCAGGCGCACAUGAAAAAGCAGAAAGAGCAGAUGACGUUGCUGUCUAUUGAGGCUCUUCCCUCACCAGAUAAAACAGUUGCUUAAAGUUACUGUGAAAAUACAAAAAGCCCUGGGCUUGACUCUGACCUUCUGCAUGCCCUUAUUAACCAGUUACAUUGCUGAACAAGCAACAGCUCAGACUUUGGUACUUUUCCAGACCAGUUAUUAGAGCUACUAGUAAAGUCCUACAUAAAUUCAGUGCAAUAAGGCCACAGUACAUAAUCUCUUGAAUACUAUGGAGGGAGAGAUGAGAAGCACUAAUCUGUAAGUCCACAUGAUAUGUUAUUAUCCCAAAGUAGGAAGACUUUAUUAUGUAACUGCAUUUUCAAAUGACAACCAACAUAUUUCUCAGAAAGAGUAUCUCUUGUUUAAUAGGUAUAAUACAUUCAGUUUGCUGCAAGUAAAGUUGUACAUUUCCAUUUACAGAGCUCUCGGACUGGCUUAAUGCAGGUGUCAUCUGCCUUGCCUGUCUUGAGCCACAGCAAAGCAGGUUAAAGAUUAGUCUGGUCAGCUGGACAAAAGAGGAAAUACAUUUUUAAAUGGAAUCAGGAAAAAGAAGGAAUGAGGGUUUUGUGAUCAAUGUAUAGGAGAGUUUCCAGAUCUGAAUCAUUAGUUGAAAAGAGGUAAAGCUUUUUUCUUUGGUGCAUAGAUAUGAAAAAGACUACCGACAUUAUCAUGAACAAGUUUGAGAGAUGUCUGAGUAAGUGGGUAGGUAAGAGAGUUUGAAACAGAAGCCAGUUCAUCACAAAAACACAGGAAUGUUCUGCAAGGUAUUGUUUGCCAUACCUGGUUUGCACUAAUCUAAAUACUUGCUGCAUUGCUUCUCCUUCUAGGUCAGGUGAAAUACAGCAAGGACUAACUAAACAUAGGAUAAUAACAGUGUGCGCUGUUUACUUGUGAGUCUAUGAAUGUAAAUACCAAAACAUCCCUUGAAUGAAAACAUUUACUUCUUAACUCUUUAUUUCUUUGAUGCAGUUAUAUGUCUGAACUAUUUUUCUAUAACAAUAUUGAUCUAGGUGAAAUUAUAACCUUUCAUCAUUGUAUACAAUGAACAAGUAGGUAUGAAUUAAUUUGAUAAAUUCUAAAACAAAGCAAAAAUUAAACCUUUUUGACCUCAUGGAAAUGCUAUUUUUAUCCCCUUAAGACAAUAUUUCAUUAAAACACAGAGUUUUACAGUUUGUUCCCACUUUUACAUAGCGACAUUCUCCCAUAGAAAACAGAAUACUUUAACACAUACACACAAAAAAAAAUGCUAUUUGAUAAAGAAUAAAAACAAUUUAAAACUUCUGCA
RNAcentral lists this long non-coding RNA (1710 nucleotides) under Anas platyrhynchos platyrhynchos (common mallard). RNAcentral's name for it is "lncRNA (ENSAPLG00000019680.1)". The record is from RNAcentral. Lineage: Eukaryota; Metazoa; Chordata; Aves; Anseriformes; Anatidae.